RNAcentral lists this small RNA (133 nucleotides) under Klebsiella pneumoniae. RNAcentral's name for it is "RtT sRNA". It matches the Rfam family "RtT RNA". From Rfam's summary of the family: This family represents a bacterial cis-regulatory element known as RtT RNA. Lineage: Bacteria; Pseudomonadati; Pseudomonadota; Gammaproteobacteria; Enterobacterales; Enterobacteriaceae. The record is from RNAcentral.
UAUUCUGCCCUACAGGGAAGGAUGAGAAGCUUCGACUAAGGUUCGACUCGAGCGCCAGCGAGAGAACGUUGCCGCAGGCAACGGCCCGAAGGGCGAGGAGCGAUAGCGACGAGUUAUCCUUCCCCCACCACUG